UACGUAGGGUGCGAGUGUUGUCCGGAAUUAUUGGGCGUAAAGGGCUCGUAGGCGGUCUGUUGCGUCGGGAGUGAAAACUCAGGGCUUAACCCUGAGCCUGCUUCCGAUACGGGCAGACUAGAGGUAUGCAGGGGAGAACGGAAUUCCUGGUGUAGCGGUGAAAUGCGCAGAUAUCGGUAGGAACACCAGUGGCGAAGGCGGUCUCCUGGGGCAUUCUUGACGCUGAGGCGCGAAAGCUGGGGGAGCAAACGGG
This 253-nucleotide ribosomal RNA is filed under the name uncultured bacterium. RNAcentral's name for it is "partial 16S ribosomal RNA". It matches the Rfam family "Bacterial small subunit ribosomal RNA", at positions 524 to 776 of the family's 1533-position model. The record is from RNAcentral.